CCCCCCCCUCUGCUCCCUGCAGCCCCGGGACUUGGAGGUGAGACUCGGGAGCAAAGCUCUGCAGGGACUCUGGCACCGGCAGAGCCAAAGAAACCCCGCACGAGGGGGGUGCACGAAGCGUUUCCACCUCCGAGGAGCUCCCAGCUAAACCCAACUCCCCGCUGGAUCCUGCUGCAGCUCCAGGCAGGUGCUGACAGGACUCUGGGAGCAGAGCUCGGGGAUCCUCUUUCCUGCACGAGCCUCAUGUCCAAACACUCGGACUCCUGAAAGCACUCGAAGACAAAGGGAACUACAAGUCGUGCCAGCCCUGCAGGAACACGCUGGACUUCCUUUAUCCUCCCUCCAAGCUCAAAUGAGCUCCUCGGCAGAGGAGGCCGUGCCGGCUCCCUGAAUUUAAAGGUCGCCGAGCGCCUGGUGAGAAAACGUGGCUAAUAAAAGGCACAGAAACAA
Long non-coding RNA from Pipra filicauda (Wire-tailed manakin), 450 nucleotides. RefSeq lists it as uncharacterized. The transcript is spliced from 2 exons. The record is from RefSeq and is a predicted model, not a curated record. NCBI's taxonomy places the organism in Eukaryota, Metazoa, Chordata, Aves, Passeriformes, Pipridae.